GAUGAACGCUGGCGGCGUGCCUAAUACAUGCAAGUCGAGCGAACAGACGAGGAGCUUGCUCCUCUGACGUUAGCGGCGGACGGGUGAGUAACACGUGGAUAACCUACCUAUAAGACUGGGAUAACUUCGGGAAACCGGAGCUAAUACCGGAUAAUAUAUUGAACCGCAUGGUUCAAUAGUGAAAGACGGUUUUGCUGUCACUUAUAGAUGGAUCCGCGCCGCAUUAGCUAGUUGGUAAGGUAACGGCUUACCAAGGCAACGAUGCGUAGCCGACCUGAGAGGGUGAUCGGCCACACUGGAACUGAGACACGGUCCAGACUCCUACGGGAGGCAGCAGUAGGGAAUCUUCCGCAAAGGGCGAAAGCCUGACGGAGCAACGCCGCGUGAGUGAUGAAGGUCUUCGGAUCGUAAAACUCUGUUAUUAGGGAAGAACAAAUGUGUAAGUAACUAUGCACGUCUUGACGGUACCUAAUCAGAAAGCCACGGGUAACUACGUG
RNAcentral lists this ribosomal RNA (497 nucleotides) under uncultured bacterium. RNAcentral's name for it is "partial 16S ribosomal RNA". It matches the Rfam family "Bacterial small subunit ribosomal RNA", at positions 28 to 507 of the family's 1533-position model. The record is from RNAcentral.